CAAGGCUUCGUGACUACCUGCCCAGAGGGGCCAGCCACAGCCUCCUCUCACACCGGCCGAUGGCUGCGCCCAUGAGGACGCUGAGGCUGGGAAGCCACCAGGGAGGUUGGCGGGGCCACUGGGACUGGACAGGGUCAAGGAUGAGACCAGCUCGCACCCGGGGCCCUGGAUGGAGCCUCCCCUCCAGCUUCUCUGGGACUGAGGCUGGGAGCUGUCAGGAAGACAAACAGGACUCGCUGGCCCUGGUUGCCCCUGCUGUCCCCUAGAUCUGGGGGAGCCUGCAAGGCAGUCGGCUGGAGAGAGGGUCCGGGUUCAGGCAUCCUUCUGAGCGGUUUCACGGCUUUUCUAGCAUAACUUUCCAAACCCCAAACGCCCUCGGAUGCACUCAGAUGUGCCGUACACAACAGGAAGCUCAGCAGGACAUGCACAGUCCAGGAACAUGCACGACCCAGGAGACACCCAAGACCCAGGGGACAUGUGUGACCCGGGAGACACAUGUGACAUCGCCACGGAGCACAGCAGAGAUGGCACAGCUGCAAAGGCCACGGCGCCCACCCAGAGCUGGUAGAUGGGGCAAUGGCGCCGCAGAGGUGGGCCCCACAGCCUUCAGCACGGGGGCGUCUGAGCCAUGGCCCGGCGCAGAGCGGGAAGGCGGCAGGAGCUCUGAGAUGAGAGAGGUGAUGAGGUUGUAGCAAUGUAGGAAUGAAAUACAUCACAUCGGCCGCAAGUGGACAAGGUGCAAACCACUGAAAUAAAGCCAUUACCACACAGGCGGACAGGA
RNAcentral lists this non-coding RNA (781 nucleotides) under Pongo abelii (Sumatran orangutan). Lineage: Eukaryota; Metazoa; Chordata; Mammalia; Primates; Hominidae. The record is from RNAcentral.